UACUAACUCUGGCGGCGUGCCUAAUACAUGCAAGUAGAACGCACAGUUUAUACCGUAGCUUGCUACACCAUAGACUGUGAGUUGCGAACGGGUGAGUAACGCGUAGGUAACCUGCCUGGUAGCGGGGGAUAACUAUUGGAAACGAUAGCUAAUACCGCAUAAUAUUGAUUAUUGCAUGAUAAUUGAUUGAAAGAUGCUAUUGCAUCACUACCAGAUGGACCUGCGUUGUAUUAGCUAGUAGGUGAGGUAACGGCUCACCUAGGCGACGAUACAUAGCCGACCUGAGAGGGUGAUCGGCCACACUGGUACUGAGACACGGCCCAGACUCCUACGGGAGGCAGCAGUAGGGAAUCUUCGGCAAUGGACGAAAGUCUGACCGAGCAACGCCGCGUGAGUGAAGAAGGUUUUCGGAUCGUAAAGCUCUGUUGUAAGAGAAGAACGGGUGUGAGAGUGGAAAGUUCACACUGUGACGGUAUCUUACUAGAAAGGGACGGCUAACUACGUG
Molecule: ribosomal RNA, 505 nt
Filed under: uncultured bacterium
Lineage: Bacteria
Description: partial 16S ribosomal RNA
Rfam family: Bacterial small subunit ribosomal RNA
Source: RNAcentral